UGGAAUUACCGGUUGAUAAAAAUGCAUCGAUCAAGAGCCGCGCUAUACGUAAUACGUAGUACGUAUGAUAUAAUGUGAAGCGGCGAGAUACUUGGAGAUUCCGUCAGUUUUCACGACAAACGAUCCACGGUUGCUGGAGCGGCAAGUCGACCUUUUCUCCACCUUCAACCGCCCUGAUCGCGAUUCCGCCAUCGCUUUUUACCGCUUUCCGAACGACUAUGAUUCGAUACAAGACCAGGAGGUCGAUCGUGUAACGUAACUAGUUCCACGCUGGACUGAACACAAGGACCAAGUUUUUCUGGCUUACUUGCUCUCGUUAAAUUAUCGAGUUUUCUGGCCAAAUUUAUACAUACGAGGCAACGACUUCAAACCUUUGUCGAAGAAAUGAAACGUGGCUGCCUCGUUAGGUAACCUAUUGGUGAAAUAAGGGUAAAACGAACCGUAAAAAGAACAAAAAUGGGUGAUACGGUGGCUAUAUGUAUGUAUUGUUAUAAGCUAGAUAAUGCAAAGAGAAAAAGAAAUACGGUGUUUGAAAGACAUAUGCGGGGUAAAACAGAAAAUAGGUACAUAUAGAAAACAGUGAAUAAAAUGCGCACAUAUUCAACUAGAGAGGAAAUAUUUUAUUUAUUGAUACGUACGUAUGUAUGUCGACAAUAAUUUUCACGUUUCUCCUACUGUUAAUAACGCGACUGAAUGAAAAACUGAUCAUAGUAACGAAACAGUGGCAAAGCUUAUGGAAAACGAAGCUUGGUAAAAUAGGACAUUCUUCCGAGAACUAGUAUCAUAUUGCACGGAAGGACGAACAUUUCUUUAAGUAAACUCCAGUUAAAUUAACCGCUUGGUAUGCACACAGGUGAUAUAUCAUGAAACGCUCUAGGUGUCAUUUCGGAUAAAGGAAAGAGAAAAAGAGAAAGAUUUAUUUCUAAAAAUACAACGUAUUCUGUGUUUAAAAUCUUUUAACGCGGUUAAUCCCGUCGAUAAAAAUAAAUUUCUGUUAUUUGGAGGAGCCGUACUACUCGAGAGAUAUGCAAAAUAUCUCGUCUAUAAAUGUAAGAAGAAAUGUAAGAAUCUGUAUUGAAAGUGUUAAAGUAAGUAAGUGUCAGCUCUAAACGUGAACGUUUAGAGAAACGUCUGAAGCGCGAUAGAACCACGAUCGACGAUCCUCUCUUAGCAGUACGUUGUCGAAUAACAACAAAUUAGCCGACUUUGGUAAAGUACCAACGUCCUAACCUAACCCCAAGAACAAUCUUGACUACAAACCGGUGCAAUUAUUUAGCAUACUCUUCGACAGCCUUGUAAUUAUGCAGAGCCGCGGGAAUUUCGCGACGGACCGAAACUUCCUGAUUAAUAAUAAUCGUAAUUAGCGAUGAUGAACUUGCGACCCAGUUAUACUCGGCUUCCUGUCACGCCUAAGACUUUGCAUUAUUUUUCGAAUUGGACGAUCCAUUGGUGCGAUUCGCGCGAUUUUCUCUUGCGUUUGACGUGGAACGUCAAGAUCGAUAGGACUUUUAGCUUGGAAACAAUAAGAGGAGUUAAUGCUGACCAGCCAACAAAAAAUAAAAUCAUAAUUUUUAAAUAAAAAUUUAUCAUCCUGGA
Molecule: long non-coding RNA, 1596 nt
Organism: Bombus huntii
Lineage: Eukaryota; Metazoa; Arthropoda; Insecta; Hymenoptera; Apidae
Exons: 3
Source: RefSeq, a predicted model, not a curated record